This 301-nucleotide ribosomal RNA is filed under the name uncultured Thiobaca sp. RNAcentral's name for it is "bacterial SSU rRNA". The stretch from base 53 to 301 matches the Rfam family "Bacterial small subunit ribosomal RNA", at positions 547 to 795 of the family's 1533-position model. The record is from RNAcentral. Lineage: Bacteria; Pseudomonadati; Pseudomonadota; Gammaproteobacteria; Chromatiales; Chromatiaceae.
UGUGAAGAACUGGGUGGGAGGGGGGGUAGUACGUAGGGGGGAAGGGUGGGCCGGAGUUGUUGAGCGGAGAGAGCGUGUAGGCGGCCAGGCAGGGCAGCUGUGAAAACUCGGUGCGCAACCGCGAGGUGGCGGUUGAAACCGUCUGGCUAGAGUCCGGAAGAGGAGAGUGGAAUUCCCGGUGGAGCGGUGAAAUGCGCAGAUAUCGGGAAGAACACCCGUGGCGAAGGCGGCUCUCUGGGACGGUACUGACGCUGAGACGCGAAAGCGUGGGGAGCGAACAGGAUUAGAUACCCCAGUAGUC